RNAcentral lists this ribosomal RNA (347 nucleotides) under uncultured Streptococcus sp. Its description in RNAcentral is "bacterial SSU rRNA". It matches the Rfam family "Bacterial small subunit ribosomal RNA", at positions 1034 to 1382 of the family's 1533-position model. Lineage: Bacteria; Bacillati; Bacillota; Bacilli; Lactobacillales; Streptococcaceae. The record is from RNAcentral.
ACAGGCGGUGCAUGGUUGUCGUCAGCUCGUGUCGUGAGAUGUUGGGUUAAGUCCCGCAACGAGCGCAACCCCUACGUUUAGUUGCUAACAGGUGAAGCUGAGCACUCUAGACGAACUGCCGUUGACAAACGGAGGAAGGUGGGAUGACGUCAAAUCAUCAUGCCCCUUAUGACCUGGGCUACACACGUGCUACAAUGGUUGGUACAACGAGUUGCGAGUCGGUGACGGCGAGCUAAUCUCUUAAAGCCAAUCUCAGUUCGGAUUGUAGGCUGCAACUCGCCUACAUGAAGUCGGAAUCGCUAGUAAUCGCGGAUCAGCACGCCGCGGUGAAUACGUUCCCGGGCCUU